This 253-nucleotide ribosomal RNA is filed under the name uncultured bacterium. Its description in RNAcentral is "partial 16S ribosomal RNA". It matches the Rfam family "Bacterial small subunit ribosomal RNA", at positions 524 to 776 of the family's 1533-position model. The record is from RNAcentral.
UACGGGGGGUGCAAACGUUGCUCGGAAUUAUUGGGCGUAAAGCGCACGUAGGCGGUCUGGUAAGUCGGGUGUGAAAGCCCGGGGCUUAACCCCGGAAGUGCACUCGAAACUGCCAGGUUUGAGUAUGGAAGAGGGUCUCGGAAUUCCCGGUGUAGCGGUGAAAUGCGCAGAUAUCAGGAGGAACACCGGUGGCGAAGGCGGAUCUCUGGGCCUUACCUGACGCUGAGGCGCGAAAGCUAGGGGAGCAAACAGG